Molecule: long non-coding RNA, 219 nt
Organism: Phalaenopsis equestris
Lineage: Eukaryota; Viridiplantae; Streptophyta; Magnoliopsida; Asparagales; Orchidaceae
Exons: 2
Source: RefSeq, a predicted model, not a curated record
UAGGAUCGUGGCGCAAAAAGACAUCUGAAACUCCCAACUUUCUCCUCCUUCCACUCCGCUCCUACUCGAUACCACUGAGGAAGGUUACUGAGUCUAGGAACAACCAAUCUAAGAUUUGUGCUCUUAUUUUCGUAGACAAUGGCGAGCACAGCUUGCUUCAUCAUUGUUAGCAGAAAUGACAUUCCUAUAUAUGAGGCCGAAAUGGGAUCGGCAGUUAAG